RNAcentral lists this ribosomal RNA (371 nucleotides) under uncultured organism. Its description in RNAcentral is "partial 16S ribosomal RNA". It matches the Rfam family "Bacterial small subunit ribosomal RNA", at positions 527 to 896 of the family's 1533-position model. The record is from RNAcentral.
GAAGGGGGCUAGCGUUGCUCGGAAUCACUGGGGCGUAAAGGGGCGCGUAGGCGGCCAUUCAAGUCGGGGGUGAAAGCCUGUGGCUCAACCACAGAAUUGCCUUCGAUACUGUUUGGCUUGAGUAUGGUAGAGGUUGGUGGAACUGCGAGUGUAGAGGUGAAAUUCGUAGAUAUUCGCAAGAACACCGGUGGCGAAGGCGGCCAACUGGACCAUUACUGACGCUGAGGCGCGAAAGCGUGGGGAGCAAACAGGAUUAGAUACCCUGAUAGUCCACGCCGUAAACGAUGAAUGCCAGCUGUUGGGGUGCUUGCACCUCAGUAGCGCAGCUAACGCUUUAAGCAUUCCGCCUGGGGAGUACGGUCGCAAGAUUA